CACUAAAUACUACUGACCAAAGCUGCAACCAAGAGUUGCUCAAUAAGAUAACAGUAUGAUUGGCAAUUGUGGAAGAUUUCUCCACAGUUCCUAAUAAAAGGAUAAAAAGAUAAAGGUCAUUUAUCUAUUCUUAAAGGUCAUUUAUCCAAACCUGUACAUAUGGGUCCUACUCAUGCUGACUACAGAUUGAUUAGGUAAAGAAGACUCUCCCAGCCAUCCCCAACAAUCUCACAGAGUGAAUUUGGUGUUAGAAGAAGACAAAGUUUUCUGGAAGGAAAAUGGACGAUGGAAAGGGUCAUAAGAUACUUUUAUCAGCUUUUACCAACGCACACAUUGUUUCAAAAUGUGUAUAUGAUAACAGCUGCAAGGACUUUACUGUUUGCAUUUAAAAACCACAUUGGAAAAAGUGUGUGAUCCCUUCUAUGGAAGAAUUGUAAAACUGGAGACAGGGCAGGAGAGCCAUACAUCAACCAAGUUGUCUCACAUCUAGCCUUUGAGUGAUCAGAAAGCAGUCAGAGGUUGAUUUUAAAAUAUAAAUCCAAAGCAUAUAUUCAUUGGAGAAGCGGAUGUGGAAGCCAAAGGGAAAGCCAGCUAAAAGAUGUUAAAAUAUGCUUCUGGAGGAAAAUGUUCAUUGACAUUUGUGCAUGA
This is a long non-coding RNA of Pantherophis guttatus, 648 nucleotides long. RefSeq lists it as uncharacterized. The record is from RefSeq and is a predicted model, not a curated record. Lineage: Eukaryota; Metazoa; Chordata; Lepidosauria; Squamata; Colubridae.